ACGCUGGCGGCGUGCCUAAUACAUGCAAGUGGGACGCAAGGAAACACACUGUGCUUGCACACCGUGUUUUCUUGAGUCGCGAACGGGUGAGUAACGCGUAGGUAACCUGCCUAUUAGCGGGGGAUAACUAUUGGAAACGAUAGCUAAUACCGCAUAAUAUUAAUUAUUGCAUGAUAAUUGAUUGAAAGAUGCAAGCGCAUCACUAGUAGAUGGACCUGCGUUGUAUUAGCUAGUUGGUAAGGUAAGAGCUUACCAAGGCGACGAUACAUAGCCGACCUGAGAGGGUGAUCGGCCACACUGGGACUGAGACACGGCCCAGACUCCUACGGGAGGCAGCAGUAGGGAAUCUUCGGCAAUGGACGAAAGUCUGACCGAGCAACGCCGCGUGAGUGAAGAAGGUUUUCGGAUCGUAAAGCUCUGUUGUAAGUCAAGAACGUGUGUGAGAGUGGAAAGUUCACACAGUGACGGUAGCUUACCAGAAAGGGACGGCUAACUACGUGCCAGCAGCCGCGGUAAUACGUAGGUCCCGAGCGUUGUCCGGAUUUAUUGGGCGUAAAGGGAGCGCAGGCGGUCAGGAAAGUCUGGAGUAAGAGGCUAUGGCUCAACCAUAGUGUGCUCUGGAAACUGUCUGACUUGAGUGCAGAAGGGGAGAGUGGAAUUCCAUGUGUAGCGGUGAAAUGCGUAGAUAUAUGGAGGAACACCAGUGGCGAAAGCGGCUCUCUGGUCUGUCACUGACGCUGAGGCUCGAAAGCGUGGGUAGCGAACAGGAUUAGAUACCCUGGUAGUCCACGCCGUAAACGAUGAGUGCUAGGUGUUAGGCCCUUUCCGGGGCUUAGUGCCGGAGCUAACGCAAUAAGCACUCCGCCUGGGGAGUACGACCGCAAGGUUGAAACUCAAAGGGAAUUGACGGGGGCCC
This 916-nucleotide ribosomal RNA is filed under the name uncultured bacterium. RNAcentral describes it as "bacterial SSU rRNA". It matches the Rfam family "Bacterial small subunit ribosomal RNA", at positions 33 to 922 of the family's 1533-position model. The record is from RNAcentral.